UUACGGUAAUAGCACCUUGAGAUAUCACUUCUUUUCCGAUCACCGAAGUUAAGCAACGUCAAGCCUGGUCAAUACCUAGAUGGGUUACCAGAUGGGAAUACCAGGUGCUGCUAU
Molecule: non-coding RNA, 114 nt
Organism: Acanthosepion pharaonis
Lineage: Eukaryota; Metazoa; Mollusca; Cephalopoda; Sepiida; Sepiidae
Source: the annotation of a GenBank genome assembly